Molecule: ribosomal RNA, 434 nt
Filed under: uncultured bacterium
Lineage: Bacteria
Description: bacterial SSU rRNA
Rfam family: Bacterial small subunit ribosomal RNA
Source: RNAcentral
GAACCUUACCUGGGUUUGACAUGCACGUGGUACGGAGAUGAAAGUUGAAGGACCCUGUAGAGAUACAGGGAGCGUGCACAGGUGCUGCAUGGCUGUCGUCAGCUCGUGUCGUGAGAUGUUGGGUUAAGUCCCGCAACGAGCGCAACCCUUGNUCAUUAGUUGCUAACAUUAAGUUGAGGACUCUAAUGAGACUGCCGGGGACAACUCGGAGGAAGGUGGGGAUGACGUCAAAUCAUCAUGCCCCUUAUGUUCUGGGCUACACACGUGCUACAAUGGCCGGUACAACGAGAAGCGAAGUCGCAAGGCGGAGCAAACCUCAAAAACCGGUCCCAGUUCGGAUUGCAGGCUGAAACCCGCCUGCAUGAAGCCGGAGUUGCUAGUAAUCGCGAAUCAGAAUGUCGCGGUGAAUGCGUUCCCGGGUCUUGUACACACCG